GACGUAGGGCGCGAGCGUUGUCCGGAUUUAUUGGGCGUAAAGAGCUCGUAGGCGGCUUGUCGCGUCGGCUGUGAAAACCCGCGGCUCAACUGUGGGCGGGCAGCUGAUACGGGCAGGCUGGAGUUCGGUAGGGGAGACUGGAAUUCCUGGUGUAGCGGUGAAAUGCGCAGAUAUCAGGAGGAACACCAAUUGCGAAGGCAGCUCGCUGGGACGUUACUGACGCUGAGACGCGAAAGCGUGGGGAGCGAACAGG
Molecule: ribosomal RNA, 253 nt
Filed under: uncultured bacterium
Lineage: Bacteria
Description: partial 16S ribosomal RNA
Rfam family: Bacterial small subunit ribosomal RNA
Source: RNAcentral